GGCCGUGUGGCUCAAUGGCAGAGCGUCUGACUACGAUAAAGCGUCUCCUCUAAGCAGUCGCUUGGUGUCUAUCAGAAGGUCGCAGGUUCGACCCCUGUCUCGGUCA
Molecule: transfer RNA, 106 nt
Filed under: Metarhizium rileyi
Lineage: Eukaryota; Fungi; Ascomycota; Sordariomycetes; Hypocreales; Clavicipitaceae
Description: tRNA-Arg
Rfam family: tRNA
About the family: Transfer RNA (tRNA) molecules are approximately 80 nucleotides in length. Their secondary structure includes four short double-helical elements and three loops (D, anti-codon, and T loops). Further hydrogen bonds mediate the characteristic L-shaped molecular structure. tRNAs have two regions of fundamental functional importance: the anti-codon, which is responsible for specific mRNA codon recognition, and the 3' end, to which the tRNAs corresponding amino acid is attached (by aminoacyl-tRNA synthetases). tRNAs cope with the degeneracy of the genetic code in two manners: having more than one tRNA (with a specific anti-codon) for a particular amino acid; and 'wobble' base-pairing, i.e. permitting non-standard base-pairing at the 3rd anti-codon position.
Source: RNAcentral